This 63-nucleotide transfer RNA is filed under the name Pardosa pusiola. RNAcentral's name for it is "tRNA-Asn". Lineage: Eukaryota; Metazoa; Arthropoda; Arachnida; Araneae; Lycosidae. The record is from RNAcentral.
UUUUAAGGAGCUGUAUAUAGCGUUUUUAUUGUUAAUGAAAUGAAGUAUAAGGAAGUUUAUAAU